RNAcentral lists this ribosomal RNA (442 nucleotides) under uncultured Anaerolineaceae bacterium. RNAcentral describes it as "bacterial SSU rRNA". It matches the Rfam family "Bacterial small subunit ribosomal RNA", at positions 925 to 1382 of the family's 1533-position model. The record is from RNAcentral. Lineage: Bacteria; Bacillati; Chloroflexota; Anaerolineae; Anaerolineales; Anaerolineaceae.
ACAAGCAGCGGAGCGUGUGGUUUAAUUCGUUGCUACACGAAGAACCUUACCUGGGUUUGACAUAUAGGUUGUAGGGAACUGAAAGGGACCGACCCUUCGGGGAGCCUAUACAGGUGUUGCAUGGCUGUCGUCAGCUCGUGUCGUGAGAUGUUCGGUUAAGUCCGCUAACGAGCGCAACCCUCGUCGUAUGUUAUAUGUGUCAUACGAGACUGCCGGUAAAAGCCGGAGGAAGGUGAGGAUGAUGUCAAGUCAGCAUGACCUUUAUAUCCAGGGCUACACACACGCUACAAUGGUCUGUACAAUGGGUAGCCAAGCCGCGAGGCGGAGCCAAUCCUGAAAGCAGGCCUCAGUUCAGAUUGCAGUCUGCAACUCGACUGCAUGGAGCCGGAGUUGCUAGUAACCGCAGGUCAGCAAUACUGCGGUGAAUACGUUCCCGGGUCUU